RNAcentral lists this ribosomal RNA (499 nucleotides) under uncultured phototrophic eukaryote. Its description in RNAcentral is "bacterial SSU rRNA". It matches the Rfam family "Bacterial small subunit ribosomal RNA", at positions 889 to 1385 of the family's 1533-position model. The record is from RNAcentral.
CAAGAUUGGAACUCAAAGGAAUUGACGGGGCCUUACUACAAGUGGUGGAGCAUGGUGGUUAAUGGCGAUAAUACCGCGCCAAAACCUUAGCCAGUUUUUGACAUAAAAUAAUAACCCAAUUUAAAAUAUUUAUAAUUAUUUUACAGGUGUUGCCCGACUGUCGUCAGUUCGUGUCGUAAGAUGUUUGGUUUAUUCCUUUAACGAAUGUAACUCUUAUCUCUAUAUUCAAACGCAAUUUAUAAUUAACAUAUAAAUCGUCAAUUUUUAAAGAAACUGUUAAUUAUAAAUUAAAGGAAGGUAAGAAUAAAGUCAAGUCCCUGUGGCCUUAAUAAACUGGGCUACACACGUGCUACAAUAAAAAUUACAAAAAGUUAAAUUUUAUUUAAACAUUAAAAAUUUUUUAAGUUCGGAUUGUAUGCUGCAACUCGCCUACAAGAAGUUGGAAUCACAAGUAAUCGCAAAUCAGAGCGUUGUGGUGAAUAAGUAUCUUAGUCUUGUA